AUGCCUAAAACUUAUGAGUAAGGAAAAUAACAAUUCGGGUGAAACCUGAAUCCUCACUGCUGAGGGGAGACAAGUUUUUGAGUGGGUAAAGGUUGCCCAUAAGGUGACCCGUCUAAUUUGCAGGAUGCCUGGGAGCUGUGAUCUGCCUG
Small nuclear RNA from Molossus molossus (Pallas's mastiff bat), 149 nucleotides. RefSeq annotates it as U12 minor spliceosomal RNA. The record is from RefSeq and is a predicted model, not a curated record. Lineage: Eukaryota; Metazoa; Chordata; Mammalia; Chiroptera; Molossidae. The transcript has a single exon.